UCCCCCUCCGGGCGGCCGCCGUGGGGCCUAUUGGGCACUGGGCGCCCGCCUGCCCCCGCCCCGCCGCGUGCCGUCCGCCUGCUUUCGGGUUGUAAACUUCUUUUAAGAGGGAAGAGCAGAAGACGGUACCUCUUGAAUAAGCUCCGGCUAACUCCGUGCCAGCAGCCGCGGUAAUACGUAGGGAGCGAGCGUUGUCCGGAUUUACUGGGUGUAAAGGGCGUGCAGCCGGGAGUACAAGUCAGAUGUGAAAUCCCGCGGCUCAACCGCGGAACUGCAUUUGAAACUGUAUUUCUUGAGUACUGGAG
RNAcentral lists this ribosomal RNA (305 nucleotides) under uncultured bacterium. RNAcentral describes it as "bacterial SSU rRNA". It matches the Rfam family "Bacterial small subunit ribosomal RNA", at positions 334 to 654 of the family's 1533-position model. The record is from RNAcentral.